Molecule: long non-coding RNA, 762 nt
Filed under: Ananas comosus (pineapple)
Lineage: Eukaryota; Viridiplantae; Streptophyta; Magnoliopsida; Poales; Bromeliaceae
Description: long non-coding RNA (ACOM_LNC038529)
Source: RNAcentral
CUCUUUUUGUGCAUUUAUUAGUAUGUUGUGGUUACUAUACGUAGGGACGUCAAUGGGUAUGGCUACCCGAAAUUUUAUCCGAAUCGAACCCAAACGGAGUGCAUUUAUCCGAUGUUAAAUGGAUAUAGUUUUGGAUAUGGAUAUCAAAAAUAAAAAUUCGACGGAUAUGAAUUUGACUGUACCCGACCCGAACCCAAACCCGACCCUAACUCAAUCCGAACCCAAAUUUAUUUAAAUAUAACAUGUAAAUCAAAAUUUGAUGUUAUAUUUGAAUUUGUAUUUUAAAAAUUUAGAUUUGAUGCAAUAUAUUUAGAAAUAUUGAAAAGAAAAUUAAUUGUUUCGGGUUUGGAUUUUUGGGUUUGGUUUCUGGUUUUGAAUUUUUGGUCGGGUCGGGUUAGGGUUUGGAUAUGGAUUUAUAAAAUUCGUCGGUUUUGGUUUUGGGGUUGGAGUCGGGUUCUAGUUUGGGUUCGGGUUCGAGUUCGGAUUUUUGAAAAUCUAUUCUGAAUCCGCCAUGUUGACAUCCCUAACCAUAUGGUAUGUAUGAAAAAUUCUUUAAAAAAUUAUCAUGAAAUGCACAUAUUAGUACAUUUUAAUUUGUUACCUAGGUACUAUGUACUUCUUUUUGCAGUAAGUAUUAUUUUGCUUAAUACAUUAUAGUUAAAGAGAGUUGGAGAUUAAACAAAAAACCUUGAACAACAUCCCAAACUCAUUAAAUGUAGAUGUUAAUUCAUUUAUAGGUGAUUAUUAAUUUUCAUCUUAUUU